RNAcentral lists this ribosomal RNA (112 nucleotides) under Pteropus alecto (black flying fox). Lineage: Eukaryota; Metazoa; Chordata; Mammalia; Chiroptera; Pteropodidae. The record is from RNAcentral.
GGUUAUGGCCAUGCCACCCUGAACAAGCCUGAUGUCUGAUCUCAGAAGCUAAGUAGGGUUGGGCCUGGUUAGUACUUGGAUGGGAGACAAUCAAACCCAAGCCCUUUAUUUA